Molecule: transfer RNA, 85 nt
Filed under: Aeromicrobium sp.
Lineage: Bacteria; Bacillati; Actinomycetota; Actinomycetes; Propionibacteriales; Nocardioidaceae
Also listed under: 2 other names
Description: tRNA-Leu
Rfam family: tRNA
About the family: Transfer RNA (tRNA) molecules are approximately 80 nucleotides in length. Their secondary structure includes four short double-helical elements and three loops (D, anti-codon, and T loops).
Source: RNAcentral
GCGGGCGUGGCGGAACUGGCAGACGCGCCGGGUUUAGGUCCCGGUGGGGCAACUCGUGGAGGUUCGAGUCCUCUCGCCCGCACCA